GCAUGAACGCUGGNGAGAUGCUUUACACAUNCUCAGUCGUACGAGAGUCUUUGACUNACGUGNCGGACGGGUGAGUAACACGUAAGAAUUUGCCUUUANGAGGGGGACNACAGCNNGAAACNGCUGCUAAUACCCCACANGCUUUCUAGUGAAANGGAUUUUUNCGCCNAGAGAGAAGCUUGCGGCUGAUUAGCUUGUUGGUAAGGUAAUGACNUACCAAGGCGACGAUCAGUAUCUGGUUUGAGAGGAUGAUCAGACACACUGGAACUGAGACACGGUCCAGACUCCUGCGGGAGGCAGCAGUGGGGAAUUUUCCNNUNUGGGCGAAAGCCUGACGGAGCAAUCUCGCGUGAGGGGAUGACUGCCUAUNGGUUGUAAACCUCUUUUUUCAUGNUAGGAAUAAAUGACGUGUACCCUGA
RNAcentral lists this ribosomal RNA (419 nucleotides) under uncultured Alphaproteobacteria bacterium. Its description in RNAcentral is "partial 16S ribosomal RNA". It matches the Rfam family "Bacterial small subunit ribosomal RNA", at positions 27 to 472 of the family's 1533-position model. Lineage: Bacteria; Pseudomonadati; Pseudomonadota; Alphaproteobacteria. The record is from RNAcentral.